GACGAACGCUGGCGGCGUGCUUAACACAUGCAAGUCGAACGGACAGGCCCUGCUUUUGUGGGGUGCUCGUGUGGCGCACGGGUGAGUAACACGUGAGUAACCUGCACUUGACUUUGUGAUAUCUUCAGGAAACAGCGGCUAAUACCGGAUAGGAUCUCCUGCUGCAUGGUGGGGGUUGGAAAGUUUCGGCGGUUGGGGAUGGACUCGCGGCUUAUCAGCUUGUUGGUGGGGUAGUGGCUUACGAAGGGUUUGACGGAUAGCCGGCCUGGGAGGGUGACCGGCGACAUGGGGACUGAGGUAGGGACCAGACGGCUACGGGAGGCAGCAGGGGGGAAUAUUGCACAAUGGGCGGAAGCCUGAGGCAGCAACGCCGCGUGCGGGAUGACGGCCUACGGGUUGUAAACCGCUUUCGCCGGUGACGAAGCGGGAGUGACGGUAAUGGGUAAAGAAGCACCGGCUAACUACGUG
RNAcentral lists this ribosomal RNA (468 nucleotides) under uncultured bacterium. Its description in RNAcentral is "partial 16S ribosomal RNA". It matches the Rfam family "Bacterial small subunit ribosomal RNA", at positions 28 to 507 of the family's 1533-position model. The record is from RNAcentral.